RNAcentral lists this long non-coding RNA (15267 nucleotides) under Olea europaea subsp. europaea. The record is from RNAcentral. Lineage: Eukaryota; Viridiplantae; Streptophyta; Magnoliopsida; Lamiales; Oleaceae.
CAAACUCCAACAAUGAAAAACCCUCCUACACCUACGUUUCCACUUUCUCUUUCCCUCCAAAGUUUUUCCCUUAAAUUUUCAUUCUCUCUCAAACCUAAUUCCACUUCUUCAAUUGAGGCAGAAAGAUUCAGCAAAAAUUAGCCUAUCUAUUUGAAUUUCCAGCAAACAAACUUGAAGGAAGUUAAGCAAAUUUUCAGAGAAACUCGGUUUGAAGAGAUCUGGAAACGAGAAUUGUCAUAUAAAUUCGUAUAGGUAAUUUUCAUAUCAGAAUUUGGCUUUCAUUUCAGGACUUGAAAAUAGUGUCGAUUUAUUUAUGAGUGAAUUCCUCUGCAGUUUCCCCGUUUGAAUUACUGUAAUUUUGGACUGCAUGAGUGAGUAUUUGGUUUGUUUUGCCGCCACUUGGUUUAAUUUCAUUCGUUAUUUGGCUUUUCAGUUCAAGAUUUUUGUUUCUUGAACCAAAUACAUUUAAUAAAAUGAUCCUCAUCAUGUAAGCAAUUAAUUCAUACUUUAAUAUCAAGAUCUUGGAAUUCUAUGAUUUUCACGUAUGAGUAAUUUGAUCAAGUAACAUACCUUGAUCCAUGAAGAAAAUUGGAAUUUAUUAAAUCUGCAAAAGAGAAAUUAGUGAGAAUAAAGAAAACUGUUCUCUCUCUUUUCCUUACUGUUCUUGAAUGUUCUCUUUGAUGGUUUUUCAUUCACGUUAAAAAGGCAGAGAGAAGCAGUUUUCUUUUAGACCAAAACUACCCACUUUCCAUCAAAGUGGACAGUUACAAAACUGUCACUUCUCAAUGACCAAUCAGAUUUUUAAUAAAUAUAGACCAAAUAUUAAUUUAUUUAUAAUAUUACGUGGGACCACAUUAAUUGGUCUAACAUUCUCCUACUUGGCCCGAGUAAUAUUACAUCAUUAUGUGGUCUAUAACAUAAUGCGCAUACGAUAAGCUAAAAUCCUUCAUACAUUGGUCACUUAAUAUAUCAUCGUUAAGUAAUGACGAAUAAGAGUCAUGGCCAUUUUAUACCAUCAUUUUGGCAUGAUUCCUUCCAUAUACUACAAUAUAAGUCCUUACUCAACAUGAUACGUAAUGAGAAGUUUCUAAUAAUAUCUUUAAAUUGCUAUUCCUAUCAGCAUUCAGAUAAUUCACUCAUGUACAUGUACCAACAAUUAUGACAGGAAUAACAUAUGUCAAAAACAAUACAUAAUUGAGCUCCAAGUGUCAAUACAUAAGCAUCAUCAAUUACAUAAUAAUGUCAAUGAUAAUUUUCAAUAAUGCCCAUCCUUUUGACAUGUUCAUUAAAUGUCUUUGGAAACAAUCCUUUCGUUAAUAGAUCUGCAAUCAUAAGAUUGGUGCUAAUAUGCUCGAUUGACACCUUUUGUUUUUGAACAUCUUCUUUAAUGGCAAAGUACUUCAAUUUCAUGUGUUUAGAACCUUUAGAGUACUUGUCGUUCUUUGAAAAGAAGACUGCUGCAAAAUUAUCACAAUAAAGUUUCAGCGGCUUGGCUAUACUGUCGACAAUUCCAAGUCCUGAAAUAAAGUUUCGCAGCCAAUUUCCUUGAACUGUGGCCUCAAAGCAUGCCACAAACUCGGCUUCCAUAGUGGAUGCAGCAAUGACUGACUGCUUCGCACUUUUCCAUGAUAUAGCCCCUCCAGCUAAGAGGAACAAAUAGCCAAAUGUAGACUUUCUAGUAUCCAUACAUCCAGCAAAGUUUGAAUCUGAAUAUCCAAUGACCUCCAAGUUAUCAGAUCUCCUAUAAGUGAGCAUGUGGUCUUUCGUUCCUUGCAAGUAUCUCAAUACUUUCUUUGUAGCUUUCCAAUGAUCAAGUCCUGGGUUACUUUGAUACCUGCCCAGCAUUCCGACAGCAAAACUGAUGUCUGGCCUGGUGCAAGUCUGAGCAUACAUUAGGCUCCCAACAAGAGAUGCAUAAGGAAUAGCUGCCAUUUGUUUGCGUUCCAAGUCAUUCUUAGGACAUUGCAUGAGACUAAAUUUGUCUCCUUUCUGAAUUAGAACGACACUCGUUGAACAAUUUUCCAUUUUAAAUCUCUCUAAAAUUUUAUUGAUAUAUGCUUUUUGACACAACCCUAACAAUCCUUGUGACCUAUCACGAAAUAUUUCAAUUCCAAUCACAUAGGUUGCCUCUCCCAUUUCUUUCAUUUCAAAAUUUUUAGAGAGAAAUUUCUUAGUCUCUUGUAAUAGACCAAGAUCAUUAGUAGCUAGCAAGAUAUCAUCAACAUACAUAAUCAAAAAUAUAAACUUGCUCUCACUGACCUUUAGAUAUAUACAUCGGUCAACGAUGUUUUCCUUAAAUCCAAAAGAAAUAAUGAUAUCGUUGAACUUAAGAUACCAUUGACGUGAAGCCUGUUUAAGUCCGUAUAUUGAUUUCUUUAACUUACACACCAUGUGUUCCUUUCCUUUAACUGAAAAACCUUCAGGCUGAUCCAUAUAAACUUCUUCAUCUAAAUUUCCAUUUAGAAAGGCGGUUUUCACAUCCAUUUGAUGUAGCUCUAAGUGAUAAUGAGCUACUAAAGCCAUUAUAAUUCUGAGUGAGUCUUUCUUGGAGACUGGCGAAAAUGUCUCCUUAUAAUCAAUGCCACUUUUCUGAGUAAAACCUUUGGCAACUAGUCUAGCUUUAUAUCGUUCGAUAUUACCAUUAGAGUCGCGCUUGGUCUUAAAGACCCAUUUACACCCAACUCUUUUACAUGAUUCUGGUAAUUCGACGAGAUCCCAGACUUCAUUAUGCUUCAUAGAUUUUAACUCAUCUUUCAUAGCAUCUAACCACUUAUCAGAAUUGGCGCUCUCAAUGGCAUGUGAAAAUGAAACUGGAUCAUCAUCAACAAUUCCCAAGUUAAAUUCAGACUCUUGUAGGUAAACCACAUAAUCAUCAGAAAUAGCAGGUCUACGUUGUCUUUGUAACCUUCUUAAUGCUAUUUCUUGUGGUUCAUUUAAUGCAGGUUCAUUAGUAGCAACUUCAUUGUGGGGUGUUUGUUCAUUUAUUUGUUGUUCAGGUAAAUUGUUAUGCCGUCCAACAAUUUGAGGAACAACAACAUUAAAAGAAGUUGAGGGUAGAGAAACUUGAACUCUAACUUCUUGUAUUUCCACAUUUCGUGGUUCCAAACUCCCACUAACUUCACCAUUCUCAAUGAACCUAGCAUUUCGUGGUUCCAAACUCUCACUAACUUCACCAUUCUCAAUGAACCUAGCAUUUCCAGUUUCAACAAUUUUAGUACUAUGAUUAGGACAAUAAAAUCUAUACCCCUUUGAUUUUUCUGGAUAACCAAUGAAAAAUCCACUGAUUGUUCUUGAGUCUAGCUUCUUUUCAUGUGGAUUAUAAAUUCUUGCUUCUGCCGGGCAACCCCAAACAUGCAGGUGUCUUAAACUGGGUUUCCUUCCCGUCCACAGUUCAAAAGGAGUCUUUGGAACUGUCUUACUAGGAACCCUGUUUUGUAGAUACAUGGCAGUCUUUAAUGCAAACAUCCACAAGGAAAUAGGUAAAGAUGAAUUGCUCAACAUACACCUAACCAUUUCUAUUAGAGUACGAUUACGCCUUUCAGCCACACCAUUUUGUUGUGGUGUGCCUGGCAUAGUGUAUUGAGAACAUAUGCCAUGUCUUUCAAGAAAUUUAGCAAAUGGACCAGGGUGUUGUCCAGUUUCAUCAUAUUUUCCAUAAUAUUCACCACCUCUAUCAGAUCUAAUAAUUUUCACCUUUCUGUCUAAUUGUCGUUGUCUAAUUGUCGUUCAACUUCAUUGACAAAGAUCUCUAAAGCAUUUACAGCUUGAGACUUUUCAUGCAGCAAAUAAACAUAGCCAUAACGUGAAAAAUCAUCAAUAAAGGUGAUAAAAUACUUUUCUUCACCAAAUGAUGAAACAUCAAAAGGCCCACAUAUAUUGGUGUGUAUUAUCUCAAGAAGCUGUGUGCUUCUUGUGGCUCCUUUCUUUGUAUGUUUGGAUUGUUUACCCUUAAUACAAUCCACACAAAUUCCAAGAUCACUAAAAUCCAAGUCAUGAAGAAUUUCAUUCUUUACUAAUCUUUCCAUCCUUUCCUUGGAUAUGUGACCCAAACGUUUAUGCCACAAGUUAGCAGACCGUUCAUUCAGCAAACCACGUUUAGUACCAACAUUAUGAUGCAAGGUUAAAAGAGUCUCAGCAAAAAGAUUAUCAAGCUUUAAUUUGUAUAAGCCAUCACAAAGAAUAGCGGAACCAAUAAGAUGAUUUUGCUUAAACAAAUUCAAACAUCCAUUUCCACCAUUACAGAAAUAUCCAGUGGAAUCAAGUUUUGAUAAGGAAACUAAAUUGCGAGAAAUGGAAGGUACAUAAAGUGUUUGAAAUAAAUCUAAAUCAUGUCCAGUAUCUAAAAUCAAACGAUAGGUUCCAAUGGCUUCAACUGGAGCUUUGACUCGAUUUCCCAUUAGGACAAACUUUUCAUUUGGAUUUAUGGUCUGGGUUGAAAGAAAUCCCUGCAUCGUAUUAGUAACAUGAGUGGUACAUCCAGAAUCAAUCCACCAAAUAUUAUAAGGAACUUCUGCCAAAUUAGAUUCGAAACAUACGUAAGAAAUAAUCUUACCUUUACUUUCGAACCAUGCCUUACGUUUCAGGCAGUCCUUUUUAUGGUGCCCAGGUUUGCGACAGAAAUGGCACACAUCUUUCUUGUGUUCCUUAUUGUGGAUUUGGGCAGAAGACUCAUUUAUCUUUAGUGGUCCUUGCUUAAUGCCCUUUCCAGACCUUUUCUUAUAUUUCUUUCCAGCUCCUUGAUGACUUACAAGAUGAAUAGAAUGAGUUCCUUGAUUCUUAAGCCUUGUCUCCUCUUGUACGAGCAUACUGUGCAAUUCAUUCACAUUCUAUUUGUCCUUUAAGGUAUUAUAAUUCAUAUGAAAUGGACCAUACUCAGGAGGCAAAGAGUUAAUGAUAAACUGUACUAGGAAGUUCUCAUCCACAGUCAUCCCAAGAGUCUUAAGUCUUGCUGCAAUGUUACUCAUUUCAGUAACGUGUUCAUGCAUGGUACGAGAACCAUCAAAUUUCAUGGUGGUUAAUGUACCCAUCAGUAUGCCAGCAAGCGAUUUGUCAGCUGUUUAGGAACGUUCUUCCACAAAUUUCAUAUAUUCCUUGGCGCUCUCAGUUUUAGGGAUAGUAGACUUGAUAUUCUUUGCCAAGGUCAUUCGCAUAAACAUUAGGCUUAAUCUGUUAGACCUUUUCCAAGCCUUAUGGAAAGAUUUUUCAUCAGCACUGCUCUCAUGAGUGAGAUCAGCAGGUUUCUCAACUUGAAGUGCCAAGUCCAAAUCCAAAACACCUAAGUUGAACUGGACUUGUUCACACCAGUCAGAGAAAUUGAGCCCAUUGAACAGUGGUACAGAUGAAGCAUGCGGAUGCAGAGAAACGGGAACAGAUACUGCAAAAUAUAAAAUGCUCUAACAUUAAUGCUUUGAGUUUUGACUUAAACACUUAGUUUAGAUUCGGACAACAAUAAAUGUAUACCGUAGUUCUCCUUUGGGUGAUACUACGCUAUACCAUCAUAAUAAACAUAGUGAUGCUAAUUAAAUUUCACUUAAUUGGUAAUUAAUCAUACUCCAAUUAACCAUGUCUGUCAUCUUUGGAUAUACAAAACACAUCCAAUUAAGUAUAUCAAUUAACCACGAUCAUGUUCAAGAUUAAUAAAACUGACUGAUCAACCUUUGGGCGAUCCAUAAUAAUUUUAUAAUCUAUGAACGUCAAUACACUCUUGACAUCAAUAAUUUUAAUGUCAUUUCCUGUUAUAAGCAUCACAUUAUCAAGAGUGUUUGACAAAUAAAUUAUGUAAUUUAAUGUUUACAUCCCAUAAUGUUUGGCCACUUUGGUGACUAACAAACAAUAUUAAUUGAACAUAAAUUACAUAAACAAAAUAUUUAUCACAUAACAUUAAUUUUAGAUUUACGUACAUUUGACCAGCCACAAAACACAUGAUAAAUUAAUUGAAGCAGUCAUCUAAUCACAUAGUACAAUUAAUCGUUCAUGUGAGGCAGUCAGUAGUACAAUUAAUAUAUAUAUGGCCCAGAUACUUUAAAAAUUCGACACCCAAACUGCACUAAUUACAGAAUUACUACAGUAAAUUAGGCACUCAUUUAUACUGUCAUUUCAACAGUGAGCGUACCACCUUCUGUAGUUACUGUAUAAAAUUAAUAUGCACACAGUUCUGCCAUUGUCUUGGAAUUAGAGCCCUUUUGAAAUAAACAUUUGAUACAAAGGCCAAUUUGACAUAAAUAUAGGCGUGCACUCUUUCGUUUCAAUGUGUCAGGUUUCCAGUUUCUAUUCAUAUAAUAAUCAUGUUAUAAAUGGUGAUGGUCCCCAUAAAUUCAUAGGCAGAAAGGUAGCCCAGAAACUUCCAAAAUUAUAUACGUACAGUGGACGGCAGAUCCACUUUUCAUUGUGAAAACCAAGAAAUCAACUUUUCUUCAACCAAUAAUAAUUCAUCAGGUUUGACAUAAUUAAUAAUGUUUUCUACGGAAGUCAUCCCAUCCGUUAAUUUACAUAAUACGUGAAACAAUAAUAAAUGCAAUUGAUGUGUAAUUUUUCUGAUGAAACAGGGACUGCUCUUUUCACAGAUUAAUAUCGGUGCAGUAAAAAAUCAAAGAUCCAUUUAUUAUUUUAACAGCAGUCAAUCAGAAAACAGAAACAUAUUUGCAGCGGAAUCUGUCAUUCUUAUUUUACGCAUUGAUCCAUAAAUCGAUACGAAAAAUUAAAGAUCUAUGAAUGUAAAACAUUAAUCUUUAACGAAAAAUCAUGAAUUCCAUAACUUGGGCUCUGAUACCACAUGUAAGCAAUUAAUUCAUACUUUAAUGCCAAGAUCUCGGAAUUCUAUGAUUUUCACGUAUGAGUAAUUUGAUCGAGUAACAUACCUUGAUCCAUGAAGAAAAUUGGAAUUUAUUAAAUCUGCAAAAGAGAAAUCAGUGAGAAUAAAGAAAACCGUUCUCUCUCUUUUCCUUACUGUUCUUGAAUGUUCUCUUUGAUGGUUUUUCAUUCACGUUAAAAAGGCAGAGAGAGGCAGUUUUCUUUUAGGCCAAAACUACCCACUUUCCAUCAAAGUGGACAGUUACAAAACUGUCACUUCUCAAUGACCAAUAAGAUUUUUAAUAUAUAUAGACCAAAUAUUAAUUUAUUUAUAAUAUUACGUGGGGCCACAUUAAUUGGUCUAACACAUCAGCGAUCUUAUAAGCAUAAUUUUGGAACGCCCUUUAUUUGUGGGUGUUGCGAUCUGGGAAAGGCUUUAAGGAGAGUGAGAGAAGGGGCGCGAUGAUACACACUUAAAGGUGAUCUGAAGGGAUAUGGGAAUGUUACGAGAAGUUUAAGAAAAUCAGCCCACUUAUUUCACAAAAAUACGAAAUAAUAAACUGCAAAUCAAAGAAACAUAAAAAAGAAAAAAAAACGCAAAGGACACGAUAUUUUCGCCCUAAGGCAAGAGGUUCAGAACCGGAGUUCCUAAACCCUUUUUGAGCUUUCGUCACCGGAAGGAAUCACUAUAUUAACCGGAAUCUCCAAAAAAAUUAUAGAUCAUAGUUCAUGACACUCAGGCGAAAUCACAUCAAGAUUUCGUACACAACAACCCACACUGCAUAUUAGAACAUCCACUCAAGGAUUACGCCCUACAAAACCACUCAAGAUCUAUUAUGGGGCUGAGAAUACAUUUAGAUCUACAGGGGGCUUUUUGAAUGCAAAGGAGAAUCGAAGAACCAACAACAGAGAGUUCGAGAGAGAGAGCUGAAAAAUGAAAAGUCGCACCAUCUCAAACCCUAGAAGCCAGAUUAAUAUCGAAGGAGCUAGAAGAUUCCUCACCAACGAUGAGUAGAGUGACACUUGGCAACAUCUGGAGUGUAUUCUUAUUAAAGAAAAACGGGUUUCAGCAACACUCGUUUUAUGCCAAGCAGAUCAGCCCAGCUCAGUGAUCAAAUGAUCCAACCCACAAGCCCAUCAGUUUUAAUAGUCCAGCCCAAUCAUCAUUGUGCCACAAUAUUUUCUCUACAUUCUCCACCUUGGUACAAGGAUUCCAGCAUCAUUUAUAGUGAUUCCUACAGUCAUGACAUCAUUUGCUUGGGUACCUGAUACACAAAUCAGCAGCAAUUUAUAUUAAGCUGCUUUAAACAGUCCAAGAACUUAUUUAAAGACAGCACUUUGGUUCCAACAUCAGCAAGGUUAAAAUGAGUAGAAAUCUUUUCAAGUUUAGCAACACCUUGAGAAAUUACAUCUAUAAUAAAAUGAAAUUUCACAUCAACAUGUUUAGAUCUAUUAUGUAGCAUAGGAUUUCUACUCAAAUAUAUAGUAGAUUGGCUAUUAGAAUGUAAGACAACAUCAUUUAUGAAACCAAAUUCAUUUAGAAGUCCUUUUAGCCAAAUUUAUUCUUUAAUUGUAUCAGUAGCAGCUAUAUAUUCUGCUUCAGUUGAAGAUAAUGCAACAAUCUUUUGUAAUUGUGAUUUUCAGCUUAUAUAGGAAUUACAUAAAGUGUAAACAUAGGCAGAAGUUGAUUUUCUGUUAUCCCUAUCACCUGCAUAAUCAGAAUCAGUGAAACCCCUCAAGAUAACAUCCUCAGAUUGUUUUCUAUGCUCAAUUCGUAGGUCACAAGUUCCAUUUAUAUAUCUAAGAAGCUAUUUCAUAGCUUCCCAAUGAACCUCACCAGGGUUUGACAUGUAUCUACUCAAUACACUUAUUGCAAAUGCCAAAUCAGGUCUAGAACAAAUCAUUAGAUACAUAACUGACCACUUAUUGCAAAUGCUAAAGGUAAGCUCACACUUUUAGCAUCAGACAGUGCAAAUCUUUCAAGUAUUUUCAAAGCAUAAGAUUUUUGAUUUAGACUUAGUAUGCCCUCUCUUCUAUUUCUUUUAAUUUCGAUACCCAAGAUUUUUCUAACAGAACCUAAAUCCUUCAUUUCAAAUUCAAAUUUUAAUUUGUCUUUAUUUGACUCUAUUUCCUUUAUGUCAUGACUUGCUAAAAGCAUGCCAUCCACAUAAAGUAGAAGAUAGAGUGAAUUCUCACCUCCGUUUCCUUUAUAAUAAAGACAAGUAUCGAAAUUACUUCUUUUAAAAUCAAGUCCAAACACAAAGGUGUCAAAUCUUUUGUACCAUUGUCUUGGAGCUUGUUUUAAACCAUAAAGUGACUUUUUAAGAAGGCAUACUAAGUUUGAAUUUUUAUUCACUUCAAAGCCUUUAGGUUGUUCCAUAAAAAUGAUUUCUUCAAGAUCUCCAUUUAAAAAACUCAGUUUUUACAUCUAAUUGAUCCAAUUCCCAAUUAAAUUGAGCUGCAAGGGCAAGUAUGACUCUAACAGUUGUAAAUUUUACAACUAGAGAAAAGAUUUCAUUGAAAUCUAUUCACUCUUUUUGGGCAUAACCCUUAGUCACAAGUCUUGCUUUAUAUCUAAUGUCAUUCUCAUAUUUUUCACCUCUUUUGAUUUUAAAAAUUCACUUACAAUCUAUAACUCUCUUUCCCUUAGGUAUUUUCACUAAGGUCCAUGUUUUAUUCUUCCUCAAUGAUUCCAUUUCAUCAUGCAUUGCAUUCAGCCAAUGCUUAGAGUCAUUGUUACUCAUAGCAUCUUUAUAGGACUCGGGUUCAUUUUCAAUGAACCCUUGAACAGUUAGAAGGAAUAUUUCAUCAUCAAAUCUCACAGGUGGUCUUAUUUCUCUCAUUUCUCUAUCUCUAGCAAGUUGAUAAUCAUUCAAUGGUUGAUUAACUUCAAAAUCAGAUUCAUUUUGAUCAGUUUCUUCAUCAUUUUGAGCCUCAAUUUCAAUAUUUUCAAUCUGUUCAUGUUGUAGAUUAUCAUUAUUAACUUGCUCCACCUCAAUUUCAGUUUCCUUUCCUUUAUUUUCAGUCUGACCAAAUUCAUUAGUGUUAUUUUCAGAUUUCAAACAAGGCAGAUCAAAUUCAUUAAACCCCACAUUUCUACUUAUAAUGAUCUUAUAACCUUUGGUCUCUCUUACCCAAAGUCUAUACCCCUUUACCCCUUGACCAUAGCCCAAAAAAACAUACUUAAGGGCCCUAGGUUCAAGUUUCCCUUCAGAUUAAUGUACAAAGGUUGCACACCCAAAUAUUUUUAGAUUACUCAAAUCUACAGGUUUUCCUGUCCAAACUUCUUCAGGGGAUUUAAAUUGUAUAGUACUAGCGAGACUUCUAUUUAUGAGAUAACUAGUAGUUUUUGCAGCUUCCCCCCAAAAUAACUUGGGAAGACCAGAACCUAAUAACAUGCAUCUAACUCUCUCAAGAAUAGUUCGGUUCAUUCUUUCAGUCAAGCCAUUCUGUUGUGGGGUGUGUGUCACUAUUCUGUGUCUUAGAAUACCAUGCAAUUUGCACAAUUCAUCAAAUUCGUAAUUGCAAAAUUCAAGCCCAUUAUCAGUCCUCAAUACUAAUCUUUUUAUUUGUUUGAUUCUCAAUCAAGGUUUUCCGUUCUUUAAAAGCACUAAAAGUGUUGGACUUAUGUUUAAGCAGAAAGAGCCAAUUUUUCCUAGAAAAAUCAUCUAUAAUUAAAAGGAAAAAUCUGAAACUAGGUGGGCACAUAAGCUGGUCCCCAAAGAUCAGCAUGCAAAUAUUCAAGUAUAGACACAUAUUUAUGCAUCCUAGUUAGAAAUGGUAAUCUAUUUUGCUUUCCUAGUAUGCAAUGAUCACAAAAACUAAGUUUCUCAAUUAUAUCUUUACCAAAAGCACCUUGUUUUUUCAAAAUCUGAAGUCCUUUGUCACUAAUAUGGGCCAAUAUUUUAUGCCAUAAUUGUGACUUAUCAUUGGGGGCAGAAAUUGCUGCUGAUGUAGAGUCAAAAAAAUUUUGAGUAUAUAAAAUGUAAAGCCCAUGUCUCUUGGGGGCUUCAACAACAAGUUGAGAGCCCCUCAAGAUCUUAAUCUAUCCCUUAUUAAUCACAAUAUUGUAGUUUAGGUCAUCUAUGACACCUAAGGAUAUCAAAUUUCUUUGUAGGUCAGGAACAUACCUGGUCUUCUCUAAGAUCAAUUCAUUAUUACCAUCCAACCUUAAGGUGAUUGCUCCUAUUCCUUUAACCUGACAAGACAUGUAAUUACCCAUUAACACUUGGCCUCCAUUUACAUUUUCAAACUCACUAAACCAUUCUCUUUUAGGACACAUAUGAAAGGUGCAACCGGAGUCAAGGAUCCACUCCUGACUAGGUGGAGUGUGUACAGCAACAUAGACCUCAUCUAGGUUGGUCUCAUUAUUAUAGGCUAACGCAGCACCUCCAUCAUUAUUAAACUUAUUCCUCAAAUCAUUAAGUCUUUUAUGGCAAUCUUUUAUAAAGUGACUUUCACCUAGACAGUAAAAACAUUUUUUACCCUUAGUCUUGGUUCUCAUUUUGUCUUUAAAGUUCACUUUCCUUUUGUGUCCUAGUUUCUUAUUGAAGUUAGCAAUUUUUGGAUUCAAAUUUGGUUUGGACUUAACCAUCAAAUUUUCACCACUAACAGAUUUUCUUUUCUCAGAUUUUGACUCUAACUCUUUGUUUCUUAAAGCACUUAUUAUCACAUCAGUGGUUAGAGUUUCCCUUCCAUAUUCAAUAGUAUUUUUAACAUCUUUAUAUUUAUCACUUAUUGAAUUCAACAAAACCACAGCCAACAGAUCUUUUGAGAGUUUCUCAUCACAGUUAGCUAGGUCACGGGAUAGUCUGUUGAAUCUGUCAAGAUUUGCCUCAAGAUCAAUAGAUGGGUCCAAUUUGAAACCAAAAAAUUGUUUUAGAAGAUACACUUUAUUAGGCAUGGUUUUAUUCAAAUAAGUAUCUUCUAAUUUUUUCCACAACUCAGCAGCAGUUUCUGUUUCACCAAUCUCUCUUAACACAUUGUCAGACAAAUGCAAGAAUAUAGAACUUCAUGCAAUUUCAUCAAGUUCAGUUUUCUUAGUUUCUUCCAUUUCUUCUGGCCAUGUUUCAUCAAUGGAUUUAGCACAUUUUUGUUGAAGUAAAAGAGCUCACAUUUUCUGGCUCCAGAGACUAAAGUCUCCUUUACCAUUAAAAAUUUCCCAUUCAACUUUUGUUAACAUAAUCAAAAAACCACAAUUUGAUAAUAAAGUGUGCAUGCAGAUCACUUGCAAAUAUGAUAGUAUAUACAACUUGCAAGAAGUCAAAUAUCAUACACGGUAAACAAAAUUAGAGUGUACAGUCAACAAGUUGUAUGUGUCAAACUAUUCAGUAAGAAAACUCAGCAAUUCAUUUACUAUAGAAUAGGCAGUUUACUCAAAAACAGCACAUAUAUGGUCACAUAUACCUAAGUCACAGCAUGCUAUGUACAGAGUAAUAAAUACAUGCAAGAAUCAUGUAAUGAAACUAGAUCAUUGACUGAAGUCAAGGCAACCCUAAGAUUCCAGACAACUCAAGAGGUUUCUGGACAUAGGUAUUGCCAAGAGAAGUCACAAAUCUAGGGUUUAAGGCUCGGUUGUAGAAAUCUCACAAUACAGGCAACUUCAGUAUAUGUAACUUGAAGAAUAUGGAACUAACUCACCAAAGAAACCUUGUUAGGGUUUCAUGAAAAUAACGAGAUCAACUGAACUAGUGCAAGAAACCUUUGAAUCUACCAACACCGGCACCAAGAACCCCCGUCACGAGAUUUGAUACUUCUGUUAUAAGAAGUUCAAGAAAAUCAGCCCACUUAUUUUACAAAAACACGAAAUAAUAAACUGCAAAUCAAAGAAACAUAAAAAAAAAAUGUAAAGAACACGAUAUUUUCGCCCUAAGGCAAGAGGUUAGGAACCGGAGUUCCUAAUCCCCUUUUGAGCUUCCACCACCGGAAGGAAUCACUAUAUUAACUGGAAUCUCCAAAAAAUUAUAGAUCACAGUUCAUGGCACUCAGGCGAAUUCACAUCAAGAUUUCGCACACAACAACCCACACUGCAUAUUAGAAUAUCCACUCAAGGAUUACCCUACAAAACCACUCAAGAUCUAUUAUGGGGCUGAGAAUACAUUUAGAUCUACAGGUGGCUUUUUGAAUGCAAAAGGAGAAUCGAAGAACCAACAACAGAGAGUUCGAGAAAGAGAGCUGAAAAAUGAAAAGUCACACCAUCUCAAACCCUAGAAGCCAAAUUAAUAUCGAAAGAGCUAGAAGAUUCCUCAUCAACGGUGAGUAGAGUGACACUUGGCAAGAUCUGGAGCGUCUGUUCUUAUUAAAGAAAAACGGGUUUCAGCAACACACGUUUUAUGCCAAGUAGAUCAGCCCAGCUCAGUGAUCAAAUGAUCCAGCCCACAAGCCCAUCAGUUUUAAUAGUCUAGCCCAAUCAUCAUUGUGCCACAAUAUUUUCUCUAUAGGGAAUGUAGUUGAGACGGUUCGUAGUGUGAGGAAAGUAAUGGGCGAGAUUAGACGAUUGAAUAACAUGGACGAGGAAGAGGUGUUUACGUUUUCUAAGCAGAUUAAUGCGCAUUAUGAUAUCGUGACGGUGGUGCAUUUUGCUGCUGGAGGUAUAGUGACGCCUGCUGAUGCUGCACUGAUGAUACAAUUGGGAUGUGAUGGAGUGUUCUUGGGACCAGAGGUUUUCAGUUUUGAUGAUCCUUACAUGAGGGUUUGGGCUAUUUUGCAGGUUGUUAGGAGUUAUAAUGAUCCUUUGGAGUUGGCGCAGGUGAGCAGUGGUUUAGAGAUGCUAUGGCAGGGUUAAAUCUUGGUGAGAAUAGGGUUGAGCCAUUUGGUGCUGCAAGUACUUACUGAUUUGUUGAUGAGACCUGCAUUGAAUAUUUAUAUCGUUUUUUUUUUGGAGUAUUGGGAAUGACGAUGUCUUUGAAUUUACUAUGAAAUCACUAGUGUUUGUGUCUUCUUGUGUCGAAAAAUUACAGGAAAUUGAGAAUAUAAUUGUUAUUUAGCUUGUACAAGUACUAUUGCAGUAACAUUGUUUGGAGCAAAAGUUAAUUUAAGCUUUUUUAUUUUGGCCAAAUGAAAUUUUAUAACUUCGAAAAAAAUGUAAUGACACUUCAUUCAAGUAUACCGUGGACACAUAGAAGCUUGUUAUUCACCACCGUUUAGUCAAUGACAAAGGCUAAAUUACCUAGGUCAUAUGAUGGUUUGAACCAUUCUUUAUAGGACUUUAUUGAACCAUUCUUUAUAUUGACUAUACAUAGCUUGUUUUUGCUUUCAUACACGUGUCAUGAGAAUUGAUGAAAGUAUGCUUAUUUCUCUAAGCCCAAGAUUGUCACAUGUGCUCUAACAUUUAGGAAUUAAAUAGAGCCAAUUUAUCUGCGAAUUUGAGAUGGCCGAAGGUGGUUCAAACCAUCAAUCAUCAUCAUAAUCUAUGCAACUAAAUAUGUCGUGUUAAUGGUAAAAAAAUUUGUUGUUCGUAUUUUGAAUCAUUAAUAAUGAAAAGUUAUAUUCUCAUGUUUAUUUUGAUCUCAUUUCUUAUUGUAUCGUUCAAUUUAAUAAAAAAUUUUGAUUAUUAGUUCAAAUAUCUUGUAGGGGCCAUACAAAGAGUUAUGGAUAAUAGAGCUUCCUUCAAUUCAAAUAGCAACAAGGCAAGUUCGUAAAUUCAAGUACCCCAUUAUCAAGUUGUUUGACAAUGUAUAUUUGUAUAUUCAUAAACCAGUGAUUUAUUUUGGUUGAGGGUUUGAUGUAUCUAUGUGUUUAUAUUUAUGAGUAUAUAACUAGCUAUUUAUGUAUUCGAGGUCCUACGCACGGAAAAUGAAGUGAACAUGCUGUGCUUACUACUAAACAUAAAUUGCAAGUAGAAUUUAACAAAAAUGGAGAAGCCAUUGGAGAGAAUGCAUGUGCUUGGGCUAAUGAAAUUGGAUUUAUUUUUCGUUCGAUAGCACCUCUACCAAUCAAAAAGUGGAAAGAGAUUGGUGAUGCUUCUAAGAGUCCACUUUUGGAUCAUCUGCAUGUACUUCUCCUUCACUUUAUAUGUCUCUCUUUAUUAAGUACACGUGCAAGUUUUUCUCUAAUAAUUUUUUUUUUAAGGAAAAAUUCGAGUUUGAAUUGAACCAGCCAAUUAAAGAUGCUAUUGACCGUUCAAUGAACAAGAAGUGGAAGGAGUAUCGUUGUAGAUUGCAUAAAAAAAUUUGAAGGCAUAGGUGGCAAUGAAGAUAUUAGACUUGCAAAAAGAAACAAGCCUGCAUCUAUAGCAGAGCAAAGUGAUUUGGAUUUCCUAUGUGAUUAUUUUGCUAGUGAUGAGAUGAAGGUUAGUACUAUUCAAUGAUACUAUUUUUAGUACAUGUUCUUAAUGGAAUCGAUGCCGUACUUGGAACCUUUCUCAUGAGUGUGGAAAAAUAGUGAUAUUCGUAAAUUACUAGAGUUAAGUCUAGUUUUGUAGAUUGGUUUGGCUCUUAACAUUAUGAUCUAGUAUGUUUCCAAGUGUUUUUGUGAAAA